AGCAGAGUGGCGCAGUGGAAGCGUGCUGGGCCCAUAACCCAGAGUUCCGCGGAUCAAAACCACGCUCUGCUA
Molecule: transfer RNA, 72 nt
Filed under: Trichonephila clavata
Lineage: Eukaryota; Metazoa; Arthropoda; Arachnida; Araneae; Nephilidae
Rfam family: tRNA
About the family: Transfer RNA (tRNA) molecules are approximately 80 nucleotides in length. Their secondary structure includes four short double-helical elements and three loops (D, anti-codon, and T loops). Further hydrogen bonds mediate the characteristic L-shaped molecular structure. tRNAs have two regions of fundamental functional importance: the anti-codon, which is responsible for specific mRNA codon recognition, and the 3' end, to which the tRNAs corresponding amino acid is attached (by aminoacyl-tRNA synthetases). tRNAs cope with the degeneracy of the genetic code in two manners: having more than one tRNA (with a specific anti-codon) for a particular amino acid; and 'wobble' base-pairing, i.e. permitting non-standard base-pairing at the 3rd anti-codon position.
Source: Rfam by way of RNAcentral